Molecule: ribosomal RNA, 450 nt
Filed under: Rathayibacter sp.
Lineage: Bacteria; Bacillati; Actinomycetota; Actinomycetes; Micrococcales; Microbacteriaceae
Description: bacterial SSU rRNA
Rfam family: Bacterial small subunit ribosomal RNA
Source: RNAcentral
AUUCCUGGUGUAGCGGUGGAAUGCGCAGAUAUCAGGAGGAACACCGAUGGCGAAGGCAGUUCUCUGGGCCGUUACUGACGCUGAGGAGCGAAAGCGUGGGGAGCGAACAGGAUUAGAUACCCUGGUAGUCCACGCCGUAAACGUUGGGAACUAGAUGUGGGGACCUUUCCACGGUCUCCGUGUCGCAGCUAACGCAUUAAGUUCCCCGCCUGGGGAGUACGGCCGCAGGGCUAAAACUCAAAGGAAUUGACGGGGGCCCGCCCAAGCGGCGGAGCAUGCGGAUUAAUUCGAUGCAACGCGAAGAACCUUACCAAGGCUUGACAUAUACCGGAAACUUCCCGAGAUGGUUGCCCCGCAAGGUCGGUAUACAGGUGGUGCAUGGUUGUCGCCAGCUCGUGUCGUGAGAUGUUGGGUUAAGUCCCGCAACGAGCGCACCCCUCGUUCUAUGUU